Carya illinoinensis is the source of this 2502-nucleotide long non-coding RNA. RefSeq lists it as uncharacterized. The record is from RefSeq and is a predicted model, not a curated record. Lineage: Eukaryota; Viridiplantae; Streptophyta; Magnoliopsida; Fagales; Juglandaceae. The transcript is spliced from 4 exons.
UCUAUCACUCUCAUCCUACGGAAUGGUUCAAAGAUUGCCUGUGCUGCUUGUGGCCUUGAUGCUGAAUGUGCUAAUUUUCUAAAGCCUCCAAUAGAAGAGACGGAGGAGCAAUUUAGGACUCAUUUUGGCCACCAGCAUCCAUUGGUGCUUCUCGACAACCUGCCUGCCGAUCCUAUUUUCUGUUGCGUAUGUGGAAAAAACCGCUCGGAUCCAACCUACGGUUGUCUGGAUUGUCUUUUUUUUAUCCAUCGUUCGUGUUUUGAACGGAGCUGGCCGAAGGAGAUACAACAUUUCUAUCAUCCCUGUCUUCUCACCCUUUAUUCGUGGAUAAAAGAUGAUAGGCCGAUGUUUUCUCGCAGAGAUUGCACAGCUUGUGGACGACUCUUGCCUCAAGGGACCGCCUUCUAUGGCUGCAAACGGUGCAAUUUUGUGAUGGAUGUUGAUUGCACUUUUUGGCCUCUACCGAAUAUGCAGGUAAUCAAGAACAGAUUGGUCAUUUCCUCCAUGGACAUCCAUUGUCAAUCUCCAAGAUCGAGGAAAGUAACCAAAUUGAUUGCUACUUAUGUAAGAAACCCUGCAAUGGUACUACCUAUGGUUGUGUCAGAACUGGCUGUGAGGAUGUUUACUUUCACGAAUCAUGCCUUGAUGAAACACAGCAAGAGAUCUACGAUAUCCGCCACCCUCAACACCCUCUCACCUUUCUUGAUCAUCAUUUAAUAUCGUUAAAAUAUUUACUAUGCAAUUCCUGUCGCGAGGAUAUUGAAGACUUCACUUACAUCUAUCGGUGCGCCAAGUGCGACUGCAACUUUGCACUGGAAUUGCCAUGUAAAGGCUGCCAUAGAAUACGAGGGUCACAAUCACCGUCUACAACUCAAUUUUUUUGAAGAGCACAAUCACCGUCGACUAUUGUUGGCCAAUGUCGAUAGUCUUAAGUGCAAAGCUUGCAGUUCCACCUGCGAAAGCAAUUCAUAUGUGUUCAGUUGUCUCUCUUGUCAGUUUUAUGUUCAUCUUGAAUGCGGUCCAUUACCAUAUAGAAUUAAAGAUGAAUGUCACAUAGAUUCUCUCACUCUCACGAUUUCUCUUGGUGAGCAUGAAGAUGAGACAGACGAUGAAUUCUACUGUGAUGUUUGUGAGAACAUAAGAGAUCCACGAUUGCCCACUUACCAGUGCCAAGAAUGUCAAUAUGUGGCUGAGUUAAAAUGUGUCAUACCUGAGAGGGAGAGUAUGGAGAUACAGAGCUGAGAAGUCCUCUCGGACAAUUAGGUAGGGUAUUGAUUCCCAAAGAUGCGAAACACAUGAUUCAAAAGAAAGAAGACCAACUACUCCAGCCAUUGCCAUCUUUAAGAAGUUUAAGUGAUAUUUUAGAUUCGCUGAGUGAAGAUGAGAAAAAGGAAUUAUUGGCUAGUGGUUUACAGAUCAGAGGAAGUGAAAUAGUUACUGGUAAACCUUUUGACGACGAGAAAAUUUUACAAUUUUCUGACGAGUCUUGCUCACAUUUUAUGAAAUUUCUUCAUCAUGGCGCAAACUCUGAUGAGGAAUUUCCACUCGGAUUACCGUAUGAAGAGAGAGUAUAAAGAAGUUCCACUCGGAUUUCUGUUUCUAAGCAAUGGGACUCUUGACCUCGACGAUUAUUAUUGCGAAGAGUUUAUAUAUGUUGGUGAUCAUAUGGUUACCCCGAAGUAUGCCUCUAUCAUGAGGAGCUUGUUUUCUAAGCAUGGAGAUAUUAGUGUUGGGUCCGGUACCUCAAGUCCAAAAGUCAAAAUGUUUUUCUUUCACGGACCAUGAUUUAGAGUUGAAUUUGCCUUUGAUCGUUUGAAGAGAGUCGCACAUGCUCACUUUGGUGUUUAUGUCAGAAAGCUAGUCGACAAAACUCGUCUUCAACUCGACAGAGAUAUUGAGGCACUCACAGAGAAACGCGAGCGCAUAAUAGUUGCAGAAUCUGCAAAAUCCAGCUUAAUAGUGGAAUGCUUGAGAGAAGCUGAAGUAUUGAAGCAGAGCAAAGCGGGUAGUACACUGUUAGAAACUUUAAAAUAGGGUGCUGUCUGUCUAUUGGCAUGCUGGUAUAUAUGGUCACAACAUAUAAAUAUGAAGAGGAUGGCUCGUGGAGAAAGAAAUCAAUUUGUUUGAUCUGUUUACUCAAUUUGUGACCAUAACUGUCAGAACUAAAUUCAGUUGUGAAAGGCAUGAUCCAGAUUGAAAUCCUUCCCAGAACUGCUACUUAUCUCCAAUAAUAAUUCGUAUCUUGUCAAAAACUGUGCGCUUUAGGUACCAGUAAUAAUAAGAUGUGAUCAAGAAUCAGCUACUUCCAAUGUUCAGAAGCACUUGGUUGCAAGAAUUAACAAUGCUGCAUGACGAGUACGUGUAGGGUGUCCUCAAACUGCCGGCUUUAACUUCUCCAAAACAGAGUAGUUCCGAGAAUCGGGCCUUAUAAAAUGUACAUGUAUUUUAAAGAUGUUGUCUCAAUAUAUUGAGCUACAGCUGAAAUGGUGGCUUCCUACAGAA